GUAGGUGAACCUGCGGAAGGAUCAUUACCGGAGUUAGGGCACUCAGUGCCCCCCCUCCCAACCUUUGUUUACCAAUCUUCUGUUGCUUUGGCGUGGCUGCACGCCAGAGAACCUACUCUAUUCUGUUUUGUAACUGCUGUCUGAGUAAUAUUGAAUUAAUGAAAACUUUCAACAACGGAUCUCUUGGUUCCCGCAUCGAUGAAGAACGCAGCAUCUGACUGACUCGACAGCUGACAAUCUCGUAUGCCGU
Molecule: unclassified non-coding RNA, 250 nt
Filed under: plant metagenome
Description: partial contains small subunit ribosomal RNA, internal transcribed spacer 1, and 5.8S ribosomal RNA
Source: RNAcentral